GUGAAACUAUAAUUUUUGAAGCAGAUAAUACCUCAGAAAAGUAGUGAUUUACCUUAACGAUGUCUUGAUGGACUUGAGAUCGGAACAUUACUACAGUAAACACACUUAUUACCGACGAUCAUUUACCGACGACUUGUAGUCCUUCGGUAAUGAAUUGGUGACAUAAUUUACCGAGGGUUGUUGGCCCUUAGUAAUGUUCACGAUGGAUUUAAGUAAAAAAUUUGGGUUUCCUUCCCCAAAUUUCAGAAAUCCCCCACCCCUAAUUUCAAAAAUCCCCUACCCUCGUCUUGCUCGCACUUUCCCUAAGCCAAAUAUCAGAAGUUGCAUGGGUUUUGGGAGUACCAAUUUGCUUGCCAUAAGGCAUUCUCAUGUAACUGUUCUGUUUGACGGUGAGGUGUGUUCGUUGAUGGCUGUUGGUUUGCGAUUUGGGUGGCUAGCCUUCGUGGUGUUUGCAGCAAGGUGGUGGGUCGUUGUAGAUGGCGUUUGCGGCAGUGGUGGUGGGUCGUGGAGGUUGGCUUGAUGAAGAUGUUGGGGUGAAGUGGGGUUGUUAAGUUCGUAGGGGUGGUGGUCUGCAGAGUGUGGCAUCGUCAAGCAUUUGGCUAUCGAGGUAAGUUGAUUCCCCUGUUCUUUCUGGUGAGUUUAAUAAUGGAAACUGUAAAUUGAUGAUGAUGAUUAGAAGCUUCCCAAGCCUAUGGUAGUGUUGUUCUGUCACGUUGAGAGCUACACAUUGAAUCCAAGAUACAUGAGAGGAGAGUGCACACAGUUUUUCCUAGUUGCAAACUUGAUAUAGAAUGCCUGCUGUUUGAUGAUGGUGACUGUGAUUAUGUGGAACUGACUUGAAUUUUGAUAAUUUGGACUGAUUUUUUGCUUUUCAU
This 875-nucleotide long non-coding RNA is filed under the name Vigna radiata. Its description in RNAcentral is "long non-coding RNA (VRAD_LNC008125)". The record is from RNAcentral. Lineage: Eukaryota; Viridiplantae; Streptophyta; Magnoliopsida; Fabales; Fabaceae.